RNAcentral lists this ribosomal RNA (549 nucleotides) under uncultured bacterium. RNAcentral's name for it is "bacterial SSU rRNA". It matches the Rfam family "Bacterial small subunit ribosomal RNA", at positions 777 to 1322 of the family's 1533-position model. The record is from RNAcentral.
AAUAGAUACCCGGGUAGUCCACGCCCUAAACGAUGCGAACUGGAUGUUGGGUUCAACUUGGAACCCAGUAUCGAAGCUAACGCGUUAAGUUCGCCGCCUGGGGAGUACGGUCGCAAGACUGAAACUCAAAGGAAUUGACGGGGGGCCCGCACAAGCGGUGGAGUAUGUGGUUUAAUUCGAUGCAACGCGAAGAACCUUACCUGGUCUUGACAUCCACGGAACUUUCCAGAGAUGGAUUGGUGCCUUCGGGAACCGUGAGACAGGUGCUGCAUGGCUGUCGUCAGCUCGUGUCGUGAGAUGUUGGGUUAAGUCCCGCAACGAGCGCAACCCUUGUCCUUAGUUGCCAGCACGUAAUGGUGGGAACUCUAAGGAGACCGCCGGUGACAAACCGGAGGAAGGUGGGGAUGACGUCAAGUCAUCAUGGCCCCUUACGACCAGGGCUACACACGUACUACAAUGGUGGGGACAGAGGGCCGCAAUCCCGCGAGGGUGAGCCAAUCCCAGAAACCCCAUCUCAGUCCGGAUCGGAGUCUGCAACUCGACUCCGUG